UAGGGAAUCUUCGGCAAUGGGGGGAACCCUGACCGAGCAACGCCGCGUGAGUGAAGAAGGUUUUCGGAUCGUAAAGCUCUGUUGUUAAGGAAGAACGAGUGUGAGAAUGGAAAGUUCAUACUGUGACGGUACUUAACCAGAAAGGGACGGCUAACUACGUGCCAGCAGCCGCGGUAAUACGUAGGUCCCGAGCGUUGUCCGGAUUUCUUGGGCGUAAAGCGAGCGCAGGCGGUUAGAUAAGUCUGAAGUUAAAGGCAGUGGCUCAACCAUUGUAGGCUUUGGAAACUGUUUAACUUGAGUGCAGAAGGGGAGAGUGGAAUUCCAUGUGUAGCGGUGAAAUGCGUAGAUAUAUGGAGGAACACCGGUGGCGAAAGCGGCUCUCUGGUCUGUAACUGACGCUGAGGCUCGAAAGCGUGGGGAGCGAACAGG
This 429-nucleotide ribosomal RNA is filed under the name Bacteroidota bacterium. RNAcentral describes it as "Bacteroidetes bacterium partial 16S ribosomal RNA". It matches the Rfam family "Bacterial small subunit ribosomal RNA", at positions 355 to 776 of the family's 1533-position model. The record is from RNAcentral. Lineage: Bacteria; Pseudomonadati; Bacteroidota.